UGGUGGGGACUCAUGGGAGACUGCCGGGGUCAACUCGGAGGAAGGUGAGGACGACGUCAAAUCAUCAUGCCCCUUAUGUCUUGGGCUUCACGCAUGCUACAAUGGCCGGUACAAUGGGUUGCGAUACUGUGAGGUGGAGCUAAUCCCAAAAAGCCGGUCUCAGUUCGGAUUGGGGUCUGCAACUCGACCCCAUGAAGUCGGAGUCGCUAGUAAUCGCAGAUCAGCAACGCUGCGGUGAAUACGUUCCCGGGCCUUGUACACACCGCCCGUCAAGUCACGAAAGUUGGUAACACCCGAAGCCGGUGGCCUAACCCUUGUGGGGGGAGCCGUCGAAGGUGGGACCAGCGAUUGGGACUU
Molecule: ribosomal RNA, 357 nt
Filed under: Micrococcaceae bacterium NASA2-46
Lineage: Bacteria; Bacillati; Actinomycetota; Actinomycetes; Micrococcales; Micrococcaceae
Description: bacterial SSU rRNA
Rfam family: Bacterial small subunit ribosomal RNA
Source: RNAcentral